Molecule: ribosomal RNA, 201 nt
Filed under: uncultured bacterium
Lineage: Bacteria
Description: partial 16S ribosomal RNA
Rfam family: Bacterial small subunit ribosomal RNA
Source: RNAcentral
ACGCUCGACACCUACGGGAAGCAGCAGUCGGGAAUAUUGCGCAAUGGAGGAAACUCUGACGCAGUGACGCCGCGUGCAGGAAGAAGGUUUUCGGAUUGUAAACUGCUUUAGACAGGGAAGAAAGAAAUGACAGUACCUGUAGAAUAAGCUCCGGCUAACUACGUGCCAGCAGCCGCGGUAAUCUGAGCGGGCUGGCAAGGC